This 194-nucleotide ribosomal RNA is filed under the name uncultured bacterium. RNAcentral describes it as "partial 16S ribosomal RNA". It matches the Rfam family "Bacterial small subunit ribosomal RNA", at positions 338 to 524 of the family's 1533-position model. RNAcentral also lists the same sequence under 2 other names. The record is from RNAcentral.
CCUACGGGAGGCAGCAGUGGGGAAUAUUGCACAAUGGGCGCAAGCCUGAUGCAGCCAUGCCGCGUGUAUGAAGAAGGCCUUCGGGUUGUAAAGUACUUUCAGCGGGGAGGAAGGUGUUGUGGUUAAUAACCGCAGCAAUUGACGUUACCCGCAGAAGAAGCACCGGCUAACUCCGUGCCAGCAGCCGCGGUAAU